GGAUGGACGAGUUCAAUUCUGCAGAAAAGCUUGUUGCCUCGCUCGUGAAAAAUUCGUGUAUGGAAAUGAUGGCUGGGGACACACACUUUGUCUGUUUAGGAGACAAAACCGAAGCGAGUUGCUGAGUGUCCACCAGCUCCAAUUUCAUCUCCAAGAAGUAGAAAUAGCAACACCCACUAUCAGAUCUUCAGUGAGAUGUAGACCCAGUGGAGUUCCCAAUGACUGGCACAGAGUCUAGCAACUAGUGGCUUUCACCAACAGGAGCUGGUUUUAAGACUUCUAUCACUGACCCCUGGCUCU
Long non-coding RNA from Bos indicus x Bos taurus (hybrid cattle), 300 nucleotides. The record is from Ensembl. NCBI's taxonomy places the organism in Eukaryota, Metazoa, Chordata, Mammalia, Artiodactyla, Bovidae.